Molecule: long non-coding RNA, 1065 nt
Filed under: Pan troglodytes (chimpanzee)
Lineage: Eukaryota; Metazoa; Chordata; Mammalia; Primates; Hominidae
Description: long non-coding RNA NONPTRT018353
Source: RNAcentral
GGGGAGGAGAGGAGCUGUAGGGAAGGGGGUUGUGCAGGCGCUCGACGCCGCAGCCUUGGCCCGCUGCGGGGGAGGGCCGAGAAGGGCACUGGGCGCCCAGAGUAACCAACACCGAGACGAAUAGCGAGGGCUCGGGGAGAAAAAACGGAGGAUGGCAAACGGCAAAGCCAAGGGCACGAGGUAGCGCAGCGCGCACCCAGAGGCUCCUGGGACGGACACCACCCCACGCUCACGGGUCCUCUGGCGGUGUCCUUUGAGCUGCCGGGACGGCGCAAGGUGGCUGAGCGAGGCUUUUUGCUCGGUGCUUACAGGGAGUACCUGAGAUGGUUUGGGAAAGGAAACAGGGGGUCUCAGACCGCUUGGGUGCAGCGCUCUCCCCAUGCGUUUGAGUGCAGAUCUGUCGAGACGCCCCAGCCUUCGCCACCCCACCAAGCUCUCAGAAACCUGUUUAUGCACCCUGCUGCAAUCCCACCACCUGCCCAGGCCAAGUGAGCCCCUCUCCGCUACUGGUGUUUCAUAAUGCUGGGAGCUACUUUGAUUUCAUGCAUUGCCCUUCAGCUGCCAUGUUAUGAGGACACUUGGAGAAAGCUACAGGAGAGGAACUGAGGUCUCCUGCCAUCAGCCACUUGAGUGAGCAUGGGAGUGGAUUCUCCAAACUCCAGUUAAGACUUGAGAUGUCCACAGUGGCAGCCACUAGCUUGACUGCAACUUACGAGAGACACUGAGCCAGAGGCACUCAGCUAAGUCAUACACAGUUUCCUGACCCGUAAAACCUGUGACACAAUGAAGGUUUGUUGUUUUGGGGGUAAUCCGUUAUUCAGCAAUAGAUAACGAAUACAGAAGGCUUGUAAUUGUAUAACCAACGUGAGUUUAUAAGCGGAUAUCUGACCUCAUUUGUUUUCUCCUGAAAAAGUUAUAGAAAAAUCACAAGACUGCAAGUCACUCUCUCUCUUUCUUUUGUGGGGAAUAAACAAGUAUAAUUACAAUUUCUAAACCUAUUGUUUUAUUCUCAAAUAUAAUUACAAUUUAAACAGGAUAUUGUAGAGCUCCAUCAUAGGGAUUAAC